CCUACGGGGGGCUGCAGUGGGGAAUAUUGGACAAUGGGCGAAAGCCUGAUCCAGCCAUGCCGCGUGUGUGAAGAAGGCCUUCGGGUUGUAAAGCACUUUCAGUGGGGAAGAAAGCCUUGGGGCUAAUACCCUCGAGGAAGGACAUCACCCACAGAAGAAGCACCGGCUAACUCCGUGCCAGCAGCCGCGGUAAUACGGAGGGUGCGAGCGUUAAUCGGAAUUACUGGGCGUAAAGCGCGCGUAGGCGGUCUGAUAAGCCGGUUGUGAAAGCCCCGGGUUCAACCUGGGAACGGCAUCCGGAACUGUCAGGCUAGAGUGCAGGAGAGGAAGGUAGAAUUCCCGGUGUAGCGGUGAAAUGCGUAGAGAUCGGGAGGAAUACCAGUGGCGAAGGCGGCCUUCUGGACUGACACUGACGCUGAGGUGCGAAAGCGUGGGUAGCAAACAGGAUUAGAUACCCCUGUAGUC
RNAcentral lists this ribosomal RNA (465 nucleotides) under Vreelandella stevensii. Its description in RNAcentral is "partial 16S ribosomal RNA". It matches the Rfam family "Bacterial small subunit ribosomal RNA", at positions 338 to 795 of the family's 1533-position model. The record is from RNAcentral. Lineage: Bacteria; Pseudomonadati; Pseudomonadota; Gammaproteobacteria; Oceanospirillales; Halomonadaceae.